GACGAACGCUGGCGGCGUGCCUAAUACAUGCAAGUAGAACGCUGAAGCUUGGUGCUUGCACCGAGCGGAUGAGUUGCGAACGGGUGAGUAACGCGUAGGUAACCUGCCUGGUAGCGGGGGAUAACUAUUGGAAACGAUAGCUAAUACCGCAUAAAAUGGAUUAUCGCAUGAUAAUUCAUUGAAAGGUGCAAAUGCAUCACUACCAGAUGGACCUGCGUUGUAUUAGCUAGUUGGUGGGGUAACGGCUCACCAAGGCGACGAUACAUAGCCGACCUGAGAGGGUGAUCGGCCACACUGGGACUGAGACACGGCCCAGACUCCUACGGGAGGCAGCAGUAGGGAAUCUUCGGCAAUGGACGGAAGUCUGACCGAGCAACGCCGCGUGAGUGAAGAAGGUUUUCGGAUCGUAAAGCUCUGUUGUAAGAGAAGAACGAGUGUGAGAGUGGAAAGUUUCACACUGUGACGGUAUCUACCCAGAAA
Molecule: ribosomal RNA, 480 nt
Filed under: Streptococcus sp. oral taxon 070
Lineage: Bacteria; Bacillati; Bacillota; Bacilli; Lactobacillales; Streptococcaceae
Description: bacterial SSU rRNA
Rfam family: Bacterial small subunit ribosomal RNA
Source: RNAcentral